Mercenaria mercenaria is the source of this 1003-nucleotide long non-coding RNA. RefSeq lists it as uncharacterized. The transcript has 2 exons. The record is from RefSeq and is a predicted model, not a curated record. Lineage: Eukaryota; Metazoa; Mollusca; Bivalvia; Venerida; Veneridae.
UUGGCUCAGAACAAUUAAAUAUUAAGCUGUAAUUAUUACUGUUUUUGAUUUUGAUGUUGGUGGUAUUGUUAUCAUCAUUAUUACUUUUUAUUUAUUAUUAUCAUUGUUGUUGUUGUUGCUGUUGCAGCUGUUGUUAAAAACCUGGUGUUCCAGAAAAUUACAUAUAUUGUUUGUAUAUAUGCAUUAUAAUUAAUCGUAUGACAAAGAGUAUACGUUGCAAUGAGAAAUAAGCAAAAAUACUUUUAGGAGGUCAACAAACUGUAUAUCCCGGAUUUCACUAGGCUACGCACUGGAAAAUACAAUUUGUAGUUAAUGCUAAAAAUAGAUACUGGAAUUUACCUAGCGUAGCCGAACCACAGUACAUAUACAGCGUAUAUACAUAUUCGAUAGUUUGAAUUAAAAACCUUUAUUAACAGCAGACCAGUUCAUCUAGGAGUUGAUAAACUAAAAAUCAAGAAACGAAAGCGAAGUGCAGUCUCACUGGAGUAUUAAAUAACAAAAUGGCUCACAGUCGACUCGUGAAAUAUAUAGCAAUGUUUCUUCUUUUGGCCCAGCUUGUUGAAAUGUCAUCCGCGAAGCGUCGUAUAAAGCUUUGCCGCUACAACCGAAGAACGAACACGUGCAAUGACGUCACUUUGCGAAGUAGCCAACCAAUCCGACAUAAGAUAGGACUGUGUGAAAUUGCUGGAGGAAGCUGUAUGCCAUUCCAAGGACGGAGGAGAAUAAGAUGUUUCUGUAAUAAGAGGCGUGACGUAUGAAAUCAAAACACAGACCUUUGCUGAUAUCGAAUGAUAGAGUCAAGCUCAGAAUCCAGCGGUCAAGAAAAGACCAAGCGGCAUGUAUGAAUAAGGACGAUAGCAGACCAUGAUACAAACUCUACACUUUCUUCUUAUGGAUAUAAAGAAAUACAGCAAAGAUAUAACUGUUUGAACACUAGCCAGAAAAAGAUAUGAAACAUUCAAAGGAAAAGCAGUACUUACUUGUUCAAGAUAAAAUGUCAACA